UACGUAGGGGGCAAGCGUUGUCCGGAAUUACUGGGCGUAAAGCGUGCGCAGGCGGUUCGGAAAGAAAGAUGUGAAAUCCCAGGGCUCAACCUUGGAAUGGCAUUUUUAACUCCCGGACUAGAGUGUGUCAGAGGCAAGUGGAAUUCCAUGUGUAGCGGUAAAAUGCGUAAAUAUAUGGAGGAACACCAGUGGCGAAGGCGGCCUUCUGGCUUACCCCUGACGCUGAGGCACGAAAGCGUGGGGAGCAAACAGG
Molecule: ribosomal RNA, 253 nt
Filed under: uncultured bacterium
Lineage: Bacteria
Description: partial 16S ribosomal RNA
Rfam family: Bacterial small subunit ribosomal RNA
Source: RNAcentral